GAGUUUGAUCAUGGCUCAGAUUGAACGCUGGCGGCAGGCCUAACACAUGCAAGUCGAGCGGAUGAGUGGAGCUUGCUCCAUGAUUCAGCGGCGGACGGGUGAGUAAUGCCUAGGAAUCUGCCUGGUAGUGGGGGACAACGUUUCGAAAGGAACGCUAAUACCGCAUACGUCCUACGGGAGAAAGCAGGGGACCUUCGGGCCUUGCGCUAUCAGAUGAGCCUAGGUCGGAUUAGCUAGUAGGUGGGGUAAUGGCCCACCUAGGCGACGAUCCGUAACUGGUCUGAGAGGAUGAUCAGUCACACUGGAACUGAGACACGGUCCAGACUCCUACGGGAGGCAGCAGUGGGGAAUAUUGGACAAUGGGCGAAAGCCUGAUCCAGCCAUGCCGCGUGUGUGAAGAAGGUCUUCGGAUUGUAAAAGCACUUUAAGUUGGGAGGAAGGGCAGUAAGUUAAUACCUUGCUGUUUUGACGUUACCAACAGAAUAAGCACCGGCUAAC
RNAcentral lists this ribosomal RNA (498 nucleotides) under uncultured Gammaproteobacteria bacterium. Its description in RNAcentral is "bacterial SSU rRNA". It matches the Rfam family "Bacterial small subunit ribosomal RNA", at positions 9 to 501 of the family's 1533-position model. The record is from RNAcentral. Lineage: Bacteria; Pseudomonadati; Pseudomonadota; Gammaproteobacteria.